CCUACGGGAGGCAGCAGUGGGGAAUAUUGGGCAAUGGGCGCAAGCCUGACCCAGCCAUGCCGCGUGAGGGAAGAAGGCUUUCGGGUUGUAAACUUCUUUUACAGGGGAAGAGCAGAAGACGGUACCCUGAAAACAAGCCACGGCUAACUACGUGCCACCAGCCGCGGUAAUACGUAGGUGGCAGGCGUUGUCCGGAUUUACUGGGUAUAAAGGGCGUGUGGCCGGGAAGGCAAGUCAGAUGUGAAGUCCGGAGGCUCAACCUCCGAAUUGCAGUUGAAACUGUGUUUCUUGAGUACUGGAGAGGCAGACGGAAUUCCUGGUGUAGCGGUGAAAUGCGUAGAUAUAAGGAGGAACACCAGUGGCGAAGGCAGUCUGCUGGACAGCAACUGACGCUGAGGCGCGAAAGCGUGGGUAGCAAACAGGAUUAGAUACCCGAGUAGUC
This 442-nucleotide ribosomal RNA is filed under the name uncultured bacterium. RNAcentral describes it as "partial 16S ribosomal RNA". It matches the Rfam family "Bacterial small subunit ribosomal RNA", at positions 338 to 795 of the family's 1533-position model. The record is from RNAcentral.